RNAcentral lists this ribosomal RNA (440 nucleotides) under uncultured bacterium. RNAcentral describes it as "partial 16S ribosomal RNA". It matches the Rfam family "Bacterial small subunit ribosomal RNA", at positions 338 to 795 of the family's 1533-position model. The record is from RNAcentral.
CCUACGGGUGGCAGCAGUGAGGAAUAUUGCACAAUGGGGGAAACCCUGAUGCAGCGACGCCGCGUGAAGGAAGAAGUAUUUCGGUAUUUAAACCUCUAUCAGCAUGGGAGAAAAUGACGGUACCUGACUAAGAAUCCCCGGCUAACUACGUGCCAGCAGCCGCGGUAAUACGUAGGGGGCAAGCGUUAUCCGGAUUUACUGGGUGUAAAGGGAGCGUAGGCGGUUUAGCAAGUCAGAAGUGAAAGCUUGGGGCUCAACCCCGGGACUGCUGUUGAAACUGGUUGACUGGAGUGCAGGUGAGGUAAGCGGAAUUCCUAGUGUAGCGGUGAAAUGCGUAGAUAUUAGGAGGAACACCAGUGGCGAAGGCGGCUUACUGGACUGUAACUGACGCUGAGGCUCGAAAGCGUGGGGAGCAAACAGGAUUAGAUACCCUAGUAGUC